AUUGAACGCUGGCGGCAGGCCUAAUACAUGCAAGUCGAACGAUAGAAGAGGGCUUGCUCUCUUCGAAAGUGGCGCACGGGUGCGUAACGCGUAUGCAACCUACCUUAAUCAGGGGGAUAGCCCGAAGAAAUUCGGAUUAACACCGCAUAAAAUCACAGUACAGCAUUGUACAAUGACCAAAUAUUUAUAGGAUUAAGAUGGGCAUGCGUGACAUUAGCUAGUUGGCGGGGUAACGGCCCACCAAGGCGACGAUGUCUAGGGGAUCUGAGAGGAUGACCCCCCACACUGGUACUGAGACACGGACCAGACUCCUACGGGAGGCAGCAGUAAGGAAUAUUGGUCAAUGGAGGCAACUCUGAACCAGCCAUGCCGCGUGCAGGAAGACAGCCCUCUGGGUCGUAAACUGCUUUUAUUCGGGAAUAAACCUACUUACGUGUAAGUAGCUGAAUGUACCGAAGGAAUAAGGAUCGGCUAACUCCGUGCCAGCAGCCGCGGUAA
Molecule: ribosomal RNA, 498 nt
Filed under: uncultured bacterium
Lineage: Bacteria
Description: partial 16S ribosomal RNA
Rfam family: Bacterial small subunit ribosomal RNA
Source: RNAcentral